ACGUGGACAAUCUCGCCCCCCGGCCCGGGAUAGCCCAGGGAAACCUGGAUUAAUACCGGAUGAGACGGGACCCGCGAAGGCGGACCGGAAGGCGCUGCGGCGCCGCCGGGGGAUGAGUCUGCGUCCCAUUAGCUAGACGGCGGGGUAACGGCCCACCGUGGCGACGAUGGGUAGCCGGCCUGAGAGGGUGGACGGCCACAUUGGAACUGAGACACGGUCCAGACUCCUACGGGAGGCAGCAGCUAAGAAUCUUCCGCAAUGGGCGAAAGCCUGACGGAGCGACGCCCGCGUGAACGAAGAAGGCCGUGAGGUUGUAAAGUUCUUUUCGGGAGGGGGAACAACCGUGGCAGGGAAUGGCCGCGGGAUGACGUGAAUCCCGGAAUAAGCCCCGGCUAACUACGUGCCAGCAGCGGC
RNAcentral lists this ribosomal RNA (414 nucleotides) under uncultured bacterium. RNAcentral describes it as "bacterial SSU rRNA". It matches the Rfam family "Bacterial small subunit ribosomal RNA", at positions 115 to 518 of the family's 1533-position model. The record is from RNAcentral.